CGAGGACGACUGGAGCUUUCGGAAAAGCAAAUGCAUUUCGGGGAGUACGAGCUAUCUCCAAUCAAACUUGGAGAUAGCUCGUACUCCCCGAAAUGCAUUUAGGUGCAGCCUCGAAGCAGAGUGAUAGAGGUAGAGCGACUGAUAAGAUGCGAGGGCUUCACCGCCUAUCAAGUCUUGACAAACUCGGAAUACUAUCACUUGAUCUUUGGGAGUGAGGGCAUGGGUGCUAAGGUCCAUGUCCGAAAGAGGAACAACUCAGACCACCAGCUAAGGUCCCGAAAUAAGGGCUAAGUUGAAUAAACGAAGUAAAACUGCAAAGACAGCUAGGAUGUUGGCUUGGAAGCAGCCAUUCAUUUAAAGAGUGCGUAACAGCUCACUAGUCGAGGAGUUUUGCAUGGAUAAUAAUCGGGCAUAAGCCCUUUACCGAAGCUGUG
Molecule: ribosomal RNA, 434 nt
Filed under: Leptospira interrogans serovar Pomona
Lineage: Bacteria; Pseudomonadati; Spirochaetota; Leptospiria; Leptospirales; Leptospiraceae
Description: partial 23S ribosomal RNA
Rfam family: Bacterial large subunit ribosomal RNA
Source: RNAcentral